AUGGUUGACCUCGGAUCAGGUAGGAAUACCCGCUGAACUUAAGCAUAUCAAUAAGCGGAGGAA
Molecule: ribosomal RNA, 63 nt
Filed under: Amphisphaeriaceae sp.
Lineage: Eukaryota; Fungi; Ascomycota; Sordariomycetes; Amphisphaeriales; Amphisphaeriaceae
Description: partial 28S ribosomal RNA
Rfam family: Eukaryotic large subunit ribosomal RNA
Source: RNAcentral